This 275-nucleotide ribosomal RNA is filed under the name uncultured Sphingobacteriales bacterium. RNAcentral's name for it is "partial 16S ribosomal RNA". It matches the Rfam family "Bacterial small subunit ribosomal RNA", at positions 1110 to 1382 of the family's 1533-position model. Lineage: Bacteria; Pseudomonadati; Bacteroidota; Sphingobacteriia; Sphingobacteriales. The record is from RNAcentral.
AUUAGUUGCCAUCAGGUCAAGCUGGGGACUCUAAUGAAACUGCCUACGGCAAGUAGUGAGGAAGGUGGGAUGACGUCAAAUCAGCACGGCCCUUACGUCCAGGGCUACACACGUGCUACAAUGGCCGGUACAAAGGGCAGCUACCUGGUGACAGGAUAGCUAAUCUCAAAAGACCGGUCUCAAGUUCGGAUCGGAGUCUGCAACUCGACUCCAUGAAGUUGGAAUCGCUAGUAAUCGUGGAUCAGCAUGCCACGGUGAAUACGUUCCCGGGCCUU